This 243-nucleotide long non-coding RNA is filed under the name Carica papaya (papaya). RNAcentral's name for it is "long non-coding RNA (CPAP_LNC002390)". The record is from RNAcentral. Lineage: Eukaryota; Viridiplantae; Streptophyta; Magnoliopsida; Brassicales; Caricaceae.
AAUUCGAUUCUAAGUCUCCAUGUGGCAAUAUCGGAGCAAAAGGGAUAGCGGGUGAGCCGAAAACCAUGGGCAAAGCCCGACGGAGCCGCGACGGUAAAAACCCUAAAACCUCUUCGAUGAGCCCAUUCUUGUUUUUUUUUUUACACAAUUUUUGACUAUUGUGUUCACCAUCCUUUUUUGUGCAGGUUAUCCGAAGAAGAAACCCCAAUCACAAAGGAGAACCGGUGGAGCUGCCGCACCUGG